UACGUAGGGUGCGAGCGUUGUCCGGAAUUAUUGGGCGUAAAGGGCGCGUAGGCGGCCUUCUAAGUCGAACGUGAAAUCCCCGGGCUCAACCCGGGAACUGCGUCCGAUACUGGAAGGCUUGAAUCCGGGAGAGGGAUGCGGAAUUCCAGGUAUAGCGGUGAAAUGCGUAGAUAUCUGGAGGAACACCGGUGGCGAAGGCGGCAUCCUGGACCGGCAUUGACGCUGAGGCGCGAAAGCUAGGGGAGCAAACGGG
Molecule: ribosomal RNA, 253 nt
Filed under: uncultured bacterium
Lineage: Bacteria
Description: partial 16S ribosomal RNA
Rfam family: Bacterial small subunit ribosomal RNA
Source: RNAcentral